UACGUAGGUGGCGAGCGUUGUCCGGAUUUACUGGGCGUAAAGAGCGCGCAGGCGGUCGUACAAGUCGCGUGUGAAAGCCCCCGGCUCAACUGGGGAGGGUCACGCGAUACUGUUCGACUCGAAGGCAGGAGAGGGUAGUGGAAUUCCCGGUGUAGUGGUGAAAUGCGUAGAUAUCGGGAGGAACACCAGUGGCGAGGGCGACUACCUGGCCUGUUCUUGACGCUGAGGCGCGAAAGCUAGGGUAGCAAACGGG
Molecule: ribosomal RNA, 253 nt
Filed under: uncultured bacterium
Lineage: Bacteria
Description: partial 16S ribosomal RNA
Rfam family: Bacterial small subunit ribosomal RNA
Source: RNAcentral